This 300-nucleotide signal recognition particle RNA is filed under the name Callithrix jacchus (white-tufted-ear marmoset). RNAcentral describes it as "Metazoan signal recognition particle RNA (ENSCJAG00000072610.1)". It matches the Rfam family "Metazoan signal recognition particle RNA". Rfam says of the family: The signal recognition particle (SRP) is a universally conserved ribonucleoprotein. It is involved in the co-translational targeting of proteins to membranes. The eukaryotic SRP consists of a 300-nucleotide 7S RNA and six proteins: SRPs 72, 68, 54, 19, 14, and 9. Lineage: Eukaryota; Metazoa; Chordata; Mammalia; Primates; Cebidae. The record is from Rfam by way of RNAcentral.
GCCGGGCGCGGUGGCACAUGCCUGUAGUCCCAGCUACUUGGGAGGCUGAGGUGGGAGGAUCGCUUGAGCCCAGGAGUUCUGGGCUGUAGUGCGCUGUGCUGAUCGGGUGUCUGCACUAAGUUCGGCAUCAAUAUGGUGACCUCCUGGGAGUGGGGGACCACCAGGUUGUCUAAGGAGGGGUGAACCAGCCCAGGUCAGAAAUGGAGCAGGUCCAAACUCCCCUGCUGAUCAGUAGUGGAAUCGCACCUGUCAAUAGCCCCUGCACUCCAGCCUGGGCAACAUAGCGAGACCCCGUUUCUU